RNAcentral lists this ribosomal RNA (503 nucleotides) under Pseudomonas asiatica. RNAcentral describes it as "bacterial SSU rRNA". It matches the Rfam family "Bacterial small subunit ribosomal RNA", at positions 1 to 497 of the family's 1533-position model. The record is from RNAcentral. Lineage: Bacteria; Pseudomonadati; Pseudomonadota; Gammaproteobacteria; Pseudomonadales; Pseudomonadaceae.
CUUCUUCCCCGCCCGAGAGUUUGAUCCUGGCUCAGAUUGAACGCUGGCGGCAGGCUUAACACAUGCAAGUCGAGCGGAUGACGGGAGCUUGUUCCUUGAUUCAGCGGCGGACGGGUGAGUAAUGCGUAGGAAUAUGCCUGGUAGUGGGGGACAACGUUCCGAAAGGAACGGUAAUACCGCAUACGUCCUACGGGAGAAAGCAGGGGACCUUCGGGCCUUGCGCUUUCAGAUGAGCCUAGGUCGGAUUACAUAGUUGGUGAGGUAAUGGCUCACCAAGGCGAGGAUCCGUAACUGGUGGAGAGGAUGAUCAGUCACACGGAAUUGAGACACGGUCCAGACUCGUACGGGAGGCAGCAGUGGGGAAUAUUGGACAAUGGGCGAAAGCAUGAUCCAGCCAUGCCGCGUGUGUGAAGAAGGUAUUCGGAUUGUAAAGCACUUUAAGUUGGGAGGAAGGGCAGUAAGUUAAUACCUAGCUGUUUGACGUACGACAGAUCGACCCCGCC